This is a long non-coding RNA of Phyllopteryx taeniolatus (common seadragon), 373 nucleotides long. RefSeq lists it as uncharacterized. The transcript is spliced from 3 exons. NCBI's taxonomy places the organism in Eukaryota, Metazoa, Chordata, Actinopteri, Syngnathiformes, Syngnathidae. The record is from RefSeq and is a predicted model, not a curated record.
CAAACGACCACUUGACCCUCAGACAUCUGAGAAGAGAAAACGACUUUUGUGGAUCGCUUCGGCCGCAAUCAUCCGGAGGGAUAUAUCAAUUAGCAACAAAGAGAACAGAAGGCAUUGACGGUGGCCCUUUUGUUUUGGCACCGCCGCGACUUUGAAGGAUUUUUGGCCGGGCCACUCAUUACCUUAGAAAAAGGGCAACGGCGAAAUAAGGUUCUCCUCCUCCUCUUCCUCAUCAUCAGAGAGACGUCAGCACUAACAACAGAAGAGUCAAGCUAAGUGCUGUCUGCAUCGCUAAUGCACGGCUCGCGACUUCACAUCCAUCAUUCAGCGUCCUUUUAUCUGAUUGCUUCAUGAACUUAUUAGCUGCACUUAC